This is a long non-coding RNA of Pogonomyrmex barbatus (red harvester ant), 177 nucleotides long. NCBI's taxonomy places the organism in Eukaryota, Metazoa, Arthropoda, Insecta, Hymenoptera, Formicidae. The record is from RefSeq and is a predicted model, not a curated record.
UCAUCAAACAUAUUUUAAGAUGCGAUACACCGCAUGCAGCAGAGAAGUUGUCAAGAAACAGCUAUGCAAUUUUUAGGAACACAGUGGAAAUACUUGAUUUGGAAAUGCGAUCCUUUUCUUGUAACUAACAUGUAAGAUUUGUUAAUUAAUUUAUAAAAUAAUAUCUUUAUUUCAAAA